This 253-nucleotide ribosomal RNA is filed under the name uncultured bacterium. Its description in RNAcentral is "partial 16S ribosomal RNA". It matches the Rfam family "Bacterial small subunit ribosomal RNA", at positions 524 to 776 of the family's 1533-position model. The record is from RNAcentral.
UACGUAGGGUGCGAGCGUUAUUCGGAAUUACUGGGCGUAAAGUGUGCGCAGGCGGCCGCGCAAGUCGAGUGUGAAAGCCCCGGGCUUAACUUGGGAAUUGCGCUCGAAACUACGUGGCUGGAGUGUGGCAGAGGAAGGUGGAAUUCCAGGUGUAGCGGUGAAAUGCGCAGAUAUCGGGAGGAACACCAAUUGCGAAGGCAGCUCGCUGGGACGUUACUGACGCUGAGACGCGAAAGCGUGGGGAGCAAACAGG